AUGAAAUCAUCUUCCAACUCUUGCAGGGAUUUAUUAGCAGAAGCGAUUUGCUUGUUUGAUGUCAUCUUGUCAGAGUCCAUCAAUCCUUUAUAGCUUCUUAUCUCAGCCUGCUUCUCCUUUUCAAGUCUGUCCAUCUCUUCUCUUCGUUUCUUGUCUCUUAACUGAACCUUUCUUUCAGCUCUUUCUGCAGCACUGACUGAUUCUCG
This 206-nucleotide unclassified non-coding RNA is filed under the name Hevea brasiliensis (rubber tree). The record is from RNAcentral. Lineage: Eukaryota; Viridiplantae; Streptophyta; Magnoliopsida; Malpighiales; Euphorbiaceae.